GGUAGAAUGGCCGAAUGUGUAGGCGGUGGGUUGUAGCCCCAUAAAUAAAGGUUUAAUUCCUUUUUCUACCA
Molecule: transfer RNA, 71 nt
Filed under: Plotosus japonicus
Lineage: Eukaryota; Metazoa; Chordata; Actinopteri; Siluriformes; Plotosidae
Description: tRNA-Tyr
Rfam family: tRNA
About the family: Transfer RNA (tRNA) molecules are approximately 80 nucleotides in length.
Source: RNAcentral